AGUGGGAGCAAGAUGAAGUCACAGACCCAGGUCCUGAUAUCCCUGCUGCUUUGGGUAUCUGGUGCCUGUGCAGACAUUGUGAUGACCCAGUCUCCAUCCUCCUUGGCUGUUUUAGCAGGAGAGAAGGUCACCAUCAGCUGCAGGUCCAGUCAGAGUCUUUAUUACAGUGGCAACCAAAAGAACUUAUUGUCCUGGUACCAGUACAAACCAGGGCAAUCCCCUAAGCUGCUGAUAUACUGGGCAUCCACUCGACACACUGGGGUCCCUGAUCGUUUCACAGGCAGUGGAUCUGGGACAGAUUUCACUCUCAGCAUCAGCAGUGUGCAGGCUGAAGACCUGGCAGUUUAUUACUGUAUGCAGGGUUACAUCCCUCCCACAUAUUUCUCAAAACUCUGGUAUGGUGUGAAAGAGGCUUCACUGCCAUCGUUCCCUGGGUAUUUACCCAUCUUGGUUGAGGAGAUCUCCUACAGGAUUUUUGUGAAUAUGUACUGCUGUUCAGAUGAAUUGAUGAUUCCAUAG
Molecule: non-coding RNA, 519 nt
Organism: Psammomys obesus (fat sand rat)
Lineage: Eukaryota; Metazoa; Chordata; Mammalia; Rodentia; Muridae
Source: the annotation of a RefSeq genome assembly